RNAcentral lists this ribosomal RNA (247 nucleotides) under uncultured bacterium. RNAcentral's name for it is "partial 16S ribosomal RNA". It matches the Rfam family "Bacterial small subunit ribosomal RNA", at positions 15 to 253 of the family's 1533-position model. The record is from RNAcentral.
GAUCCUGGCUCAGGAUGAACGCUAGCUACAGGCUUAACACAUGCAAGUCGAGGGGCAGCAUGAACUUAGCUUGCUAAGUUUGAUGGCGACCGGCGCACGGGUGAGUAACACGUAUCCAACCUUCCCGUUACUCUGGGAUAGCCUUUCGAAAGAAAGAUUAAUACCGGAUAGUAUCGAGAGAUUGCAUGAUAACCCGAUUAAAGAUUUAUCGGUAACGGAUGGGGAUGCGUUCCAUUAGAUAGUAGGG